UACGUAGGCAGCAAGCGUUGUUCGGAGUUACUGGGCGUAAAGGGUGCGUAGGUGGCUCUAUAAGUAUGGUGUGAAAUCUCCCGGCUUAACUGGGAGGGUGCGCCGUAGACUGUGGGGCUAGAGUGUGGGAGAGGAAAGUGGAAUUCCUGGUGUAGCGGUGAAGUGCGUAGAUAUCAGGAGGAACACCGGUGGUGUAAACGGCUUUCUGGACCAUAACUGACACUGAGGCACGAAAGCGUGGGUAGCAAACAGG
Molecule: ribosomal RNA, 253 nt
Filed under: uncultured bacterium
Lineage: Bacteria
Description: partial 16S ribosomal RNA
Rfam family: Bacterial small subunit ribosomal RNA
Source: RNAcentral